This 642-nucleotide long non-coding RNA is filed under the name Anas platyrhynchos platyrhynchos (common mallard). RNAcentral describes it as "lncRNA (ENSAPLG00000030177.1)". The record is from RNAcentral. Lineage: Eukaryota; Metazoa; Chordata; Aves; Anseriformes; Anatidae.
GGGAGAGCUGGCCCUGCUGGCAAUGACUGCACUGGCCUAUGUGGGAGAGGCACAUGCCUCUACCAGGAGUUGCUCAACACACUGCUCCAGUGAAGGAUUCAGCAGGAAAAGAGACGUACCUGCUACAGGUUGAAGGCUCAUGAGGAACCAUCCCAAACCUCAGCAUGAACCCUCAUUGAAAACGACCCUCCCAGUCUCCCAAGAGGAGGGAAGAACAUGUAAAGGAUGCCAAGCUCAUGCCAUGCCAAGCUGAUGCAGAGCCAAUGAUCUUACUGACUGCCUUCCCCAGCAGCAACCCAAGGCUGAUGUGAAGACUCCUUAGAGGGGUGCAGAGGGGCUGAGCUGCUCCGAAUUAAGCGAGCCAUGCUGCUGCUGCAGGUAAUUCACAGUGAGUAUUUGUCAGCAUGGAAAUUCAACAGUGAAUAUUUGGGGGUAUAAAAUUUAUAUAAAACUAUGUUUGGUUGAAAACUACACUCAAAUUAACAAUAUUCAGUUUACAGACUGACUUUCAGAUUGCCAGGCCACUGGCUCCAGUGCAAGGUGGGCUUCACUGCAGCAUGGAUGGGGUGCAGAUGGCGAGGAGCAGACCCAUUGGGUAUUCUCCAGCCUCAGAGCUGUGCUCUGCUCCCAGCCAGCCCAGCU